Sardina pilchardus (European sardine) is the source of this 712-nucleotide long non-coding RNA. RefSeq lists it as uncharacterized. The record is from RefSeq and is a predicted model, not a curated record. Lineage: Eukaryota; Metazoa; Chordata; Actinopteri; Clupeiformes; Clupeidae. The transcript is spliced from 3 exons.
UCGUCGACGACGCGGCGCGGGUUGCUGUCGGUCUGGGAGACUUGACACAUCGAAAUGUCUUUUCUGCUGAAUCGUGUUUGUAAAUACAAUCCCGUUUUCACGGGUUUAAUAAGGACUGGCAGAAUCUGGAACAGUGUUAAUGUCACCGAGAAAAUCCCAACCUUGAAACACGACAGAGCAGCACAGUGUUUCACUGUAAGCUUGAACACAGCUGGCAAUCAUGACAACGCCACCCUGCGGUACAAUCUAACUGGCGACGGAGAAAUCGAUCUAAUGUCAACCAAUGUUCCUGAGUCAUUCCGUGGCCAAGGUAUUGCAGCACACCUUGCCAAGGCCGCCUUGGACUUUGUUGUGGAGGAAAAGUUGAAGGCUCACAUUUCUUGUUGGUACAUCAAAAAAUAUGUGGAGGAGAACCCUGACUUGGGGUACAGUAAUCACAUAGUCGAUUAAUUGUUGCGAAAUUAGCCUACUGCCCUAGGCACCAGUCCAAAUGACCUACCUCUAUGUCUAGCUAUUUCCCCCUCAUUAUAAUGAAGAUAUUGUCUGGCGGCUUGCAGGUUUGAAAUGUCUGCAAUAUCCUAUGGACUUCAAAAAUAGCUGGACUAUUGUAAUUUUAAACUUAAUUCAUUGCAGAAAUGCUGUCAUUGAACAUACUAUUUACUGAUGUGAUUGCUGAAUGUUCUUAAAUAAAUGUUUUAAUUUUUUUAAUGUU